CAAACCCCCAGACCUCUGAGUGAGUCACAGAACCAUCUCCUAGGCAACGAUAUGCACUCAGAGGAGCAGAAAGAAAGCAGCCCGACAAACAUCGAGGUGUGUCAACCUGUUUCAAUUACUAUAGUGAAUGAGUCCUAAUCAGGACUUUGGCAUGGCACCAGGAUUUCUUCUCAUUUAUGAGUACUGUUGUCAUGGAGACCUCAUGUGAAAGAGCACACAACCCACAAGAUAUCAUGCCUUAAGGUUAGCA
Long non-coding RNA from Cyprinus carpio (common carp), 250 nucleotides. RefSeq lists it as uncharacterized. The record is from RefSeq and is a predicted model, not a curated record. The transcript is spliced from 3 exons. NCBI's taxonomy places the organism in Eukaryota, Metazoa, Chordata, Actinopteri, Cypriniformes, Cyprinidae.